GACGAACGCUGGCGGCGUGCUUAACACAUGCAAGUCGAGCGGUAAGGCCCUUUCGGGGGUACACGAGCGGCGAACGGGUGAGUAACACGUGGGUGACCUGCCCUCAGCUCUGGGAUAAGCCUGGGAAACUGGGUCUAAUACCGGAUAUGACUCCAUGACGCAUGUUGUGGGGUGGAAAGCCUUGUGCGGCUGAGGAUGGGCCCGCGGCCUAUCAGCUUGUUGGUGGGGGAUGGCCUACCAAGGCGACGGACGGGUAGCCGGCCUGAGGAGGGCGGACCGGCCACACGUGGG
RNAcentral lists this ribosomal RNA (291 nucleotides) under uncultured bacterium. RNAcentral describes it as "partial 16S ribosomal RNA". It matches the Rfam family "Bacterial small subunit ribosomal RNA", at positions 28 to 318 of the family's 1533-position model. The record is from RNAcentral.